CUCCGUAGCGGUGGUUCCAUGUUUGAUUGUAGAACUCCUCAAUAACCUGCAGGGAGAAGGGCCUGGGUAGGUGGCUACUGUCUCACCAUAUCGCCAGGGCUUGGCUCUGCUGCAAACGUCCUCACAGUGCUCUCCAGCCAGGCCCCUUCUCCGCUUUACAUAGGUUCAGUUUCUCCGGACGAAAAGAGGACUGGGCUCUCCCCCUCUCCUAAGGUGGUCAAGACUCUGAGGAUGGUGGCCAAGGAGGACAGAGCAGCAAGGCACAGGGAAGAAAAUGCUCCUUCUGCCUAUCUGCCCCCUUCCAGAUGGCUCUCAACAUACUCUAGGCCACAGCUGUAGGCCCUGGGCCCUGCCCCGACCCCCUGCUGAGGAGGAAGCACAGCUAGGCAGACAGGUUAUGCAUCCUGCGAGCCUGACGAAGUGCGCACUCACUGACUCUGCAGUUUGAGCCUGCAGGACUAAGGACACGCUCUAAAGCACACUGUCACUUCUGUCUUCCAGGCCCAGUUCCCCUGUGGCUGGCUGGAAAUGCCACCUGAAGAAGCCACCGCCUCUUUUCUUUUCCAGGUGCUCAGCUGAUGAUCAGGGAAAGGCCCCAGGGUCUCAGGAACUCACAGCAACCCUCCAGCCUCAGCCUUUUGAAUGUUAGGAUUAUAAAUGUGCACACGGCAAGCUCCUGAGCAUGGAACUGCACAUCGUCUCUUCACAGCCAUUCCAUUUCCAGUCCUGAUCUACACCCUCAAGUGCAGCAGAAAGGAAUAGGUGCAGAAAGGAAAGCUGACUGUGGGCACUCACUGUGAGCAGCCGUGAGCUCCAACCGCCUCUUCUCUAAUGCCGACUUCAGCAUUGUGCUUAUGCAUCACUUAAAGGGGGCCCAUUCUGAGAAAUGUGUUAUUAGGUGAUUCCACUGUACGAACAUCAGAGUGCAUUUGGAAUAAAACUAAAUGCUGUGGGCCACUCAGGGCUCUUGAUGCAAUUAAGGGAUGGCAAACAUGAGACACGCCAGGAUGCUGGCAUGUAACCCAGAAGGGUGUUUCAGGGCAAACUGUUCUAGUAUGCAGAAGGAACUCACUGGGAAAUUAUGAUAAAAAUAUACCCAAUAAACUAAUAAUGGCUAUGUCUAUUACCAUCUUAUAAUUAUUAAAAGUUUUAUUCUAAA
This is a long non-coding RNA of Mus musculus (house mouse), 1159 nucleotides long. RefSeq annotates it as predicted gene 12867. The record is from RefSeq and is marked validated. NCBI's taxonomy places the organism in Eukaryota, Metazoa, Chordata, Mammalia, Rodentia, Muridae. The transcript has 4 exons.